RNAcentral lists this ribosomal RNA (253 nucleotides) under uncultured bacterium. RNAcentral describes it as "partial 16S ribosomal RNA". It matches the Rfam family "Bacterial small subunit ribosomal RNA", at positions 524 to 776 of the family's 1533-position model. The record is from RNAcentral.
UACGUAGGGGGCUAGCGUUGUCCGGAAUCAUUGGGCGUAAAGCGCGUGUAGGCGGCUCGGUAAGUCCGCUGUGAAAGUCGGGGGCUCAACCCUCGGAUGCCGGUGGAUACUGUCGGGCUAGAGUACGGAAGAGGCGAGUGGAAUUCCUGGUGUAGCGGUGAAAUGCGCAGAUAUCAGGAGGAACACCAAUUGCGAAGGCAGCUCGCUGGGACGUUACUGACGCUGAGACGCGAAAGCGUGGGGAGCAAACAGG